UACGGAGGGUGCAAGCGUUAAUCGGAAUUACUGGGCGUAAAGGGCGCGUAGGUGGUUUAGUAAGUUGGCUGUGAAAUUCCUGGGCUUAACCUAGGCUGGUCAGCCAAUACUGUUAAACUAGAGUACGAGAGAGGGUAGUGGAAUUUCAGGUGUAGCGGUGAAAUGCGUAGAUAUCUGAAGGAACACCAGUGGCGAAGGCGACUACCUGGCACGAUACUGACACUGAGGCGCGAAAGCGUGGGGAGCAAACAGG
This 253-nucleotide ribosomal RNA is filed under the name uncultured bacterium. Its description in RNAcentral is "partial 16S ribosomal RNA". It matches the Rfam family "Bacterial small subunit ribosomal RNA", at positions 524 to 776 of the family's 1533-position model. The record is from RNAcentral.